RNAcentral lists this ribosomal RNA (403 nucleotides) under Verrucomicrobiota bacterium. RNAcentral's name for it is "Verrucomicrobia bacterium partial 16S ribosomal RNA". It matches the Rfam family "Bacterial small subunit ribosomal RNA", at positions 355 to 776 of the family's 1533-position model. The record is from RNAcentral. Lineage: Bacteria; Pseudomonadati; Verrucomicrobiota.
UGGGGAAUAUUGCACAAUGGGGGAAACCCUGAUGCAGCGACGCCGCGUGAGCGAAGAAGGUUUUCGAAUCGUAAAGCUCUGUCCUAUGAGAAGAUAAUGACGGUAUCAUAGGAGGAAGCCCCGGCUAAAUACGUGCCAGCAGCCGCGGUAAUACGUAUGGGGCGAGCGUUGUCCGGAAUUAUUGGGCGUAAAGGGUACGUAGGCGGUCUAUUAAGUCAGGUGUGAAAGCGUGAGGCUUAACCUCAUUAAGCACUUGAAACUGAUAGACUUGAGUGAAGGGGAGGAAAGUGGAAUUCCUAGUGUGGCGGUGAAAUGCGUAGAUAUUAGGAGGAAUACCGGUGGCGAAGGCGACUUUCUGGACUUUUACUGACGCUCAGGUACGAAAGCGUGGGGAGCAAACAGG